CGUUUUCCCUGUAUCCUAUUGGGGACCACAGCAUUGUGAGGAAGUUACUAUGUGUAUUACGGAAAUAAGAGUGGGAAGCUAUGCUCAUGAACUUGACGGUGAAAUACUGUUGUGCCCAAGAUUGCGAAUCUGAGAAACCACCGAGAAGCCGACAGCGAUGAAAACACACGAGGGUUUACUUACAAGCUCGAGCUUGUGUCCAAUUAUACCCGACAGAGCGGAGCAGGGAGUUGGACCCCGAGACUGUUGUGCCCAAGAUUGCGAAUCUGAGAAAUCACCGAGAAGCCAACACCAAUGCA
Molecule: long non-coding RNA, 299 nt
Organism: Canis lupus familiaris (dog)
Lineage: Eukaryota; Metazoa; Chordata; Mammalia; Carnivora; Canidae
Exons: 4
Source: RefSeq, a predicted model, not a curated record